UACGAAGGGGGCUAGCGUUGCUCGGAAUCACUGGGCGUAAAGCGCACGUAGGCGGAUUGCUAAGUCAGGGGUGAAAUCCUGGAGCUCAACUCCAGAACUGCCUUUGAUACUGGCGAUCUUGAGUCCGGGAGAGGUGAGUGGAACUGCGAGUGUAGAGGUGAAAUUCGUAGAUAUUCGCAAGAACACCAGUGGCGAAGGCGGCAUCCUGGACCAUGACUGACGCUGAGGAGCGAAAGCCAGGGGAGCAAACGGG
This 253-nucleotide ribosomal RNA is filed under the name uncultured bacterium. RNAcentral describes it as "partial 16S ribosomal RNA". It matches the Rfam family "Bacterial small subunit ribosomal RNA", at positions 524 to 776 of the family's 1533-position model. The record is from RNAcentral.